UACUGAUUUGUACUAUUGUUGCCCGGAACAGGGCGGGCACAUCAUAAAGGUCAAUUGAGUUGUGUAGAUGUGUUUGUUGUCUUAGAAAUCCAUCAGGUGCUCCCAAAGAAGCAACCUGAUUCUGUUGGUAUACUUCGUUACUUUGGAGAGUCCUGCCAACAAGACGGACCUUGUAUAUGAAGUAUGUCUGUAUGCACAUUGUACUCCUUCAAAUAUACAAGAAUACCAUAUGUGAACUUCUUUUUUAGGGCUCCUUUGAUUCAAAGGAAUUCCGUGGGAUUUUUGGAGGGUUAGAAUCCUUAGGAUUUUUUCCUAUGUUUGUCGUUUGAUUCAUAGGAUUUAAUCCUAUAGAAUUUUUUCCUAUGGAAUCAAGUGUACUACAUUUUAUUGGAAAUCUAGCAUCCACUCCAACCUCUUUUUUCAAUUCCUUUAUAUCUCAUGUAGCAUCAAACACUCGAUGCUAAUCCUAUAGGAUUCAAGUGGACAUGCCACUCAAAUCCUAUAUUUUUCCUAUUCCCGUGUUUUGAAAAUCCUGCAAAUCAAAGAUGGCCUUAGCUUGCAUGUUUUUCAUGUCCAUUUAUUGCCUCCGAAGCUAUUCCGUUUUAAAAAUUAAAGAUCCAUAUGAUAUGUGGAAUGUUCUUUCUGCGAAUGGACCUGUUAGGAUCCUGUUUGGAAGGCGGGUAUAUUUCUUGAUUCAUGAGGAAAUUGAAUUGUUCCUUGUGAAAUUCCGGUGAAAUUCUUGCCUCCAGACAGGGCCUCGGUGUGGUGAUGUUGUUACUUGUGCCGGGAAGUUGAUGGAAAUGUACUUGCCGCCAGGCAUAUAGGAUGUAUUCAUGCAGAAAUUUUGGCCAUAUGUUUCUCCUUACCUUUGCAGUAAUUAUUUGCGUUGCCUCUGUUGUGUGCUGCUCAAGAUAAUCCAAGCAAAUCCGAUUUCUCUUUUUUUUUUCGAGAAAUAUCGCGCCUUAUUGAUCAAGAGACUGCGACAUUCGACAUACAAAUUACAGAAUUAGUACUGUACAUGACUAAAGCGAACCGACUCUCUGGUUUGGUCGAGUCCAGUGUGCUUUUGCGAGCGUCAGAUCUGAAACAUAGGGCCCAGAUCAACCAAGUUCCACACCGUGCGUUGCGCCCCGAGUCCAGUCCUCCCGGCGCCGCCGCCUCUGCGCGCUUUGGGCAGGAGGCUGACGCCACCACUGCCGGAGACCUCGCACCCCUUCGGACCCGAGGAGUCAGGUUCUUUACUCUCUAGAGUGAUGGAUUCUUCAGAAAUUCCGCCCUCUGACCUCAGAGAAGAGCAGCCGCCGGCGCCGGCGUCCCUGCCGCUGCCGGCGGCCUUUCUCGAGUUCCUCGGCGAUAAUGGCCUGGACCCCGCGCUGUACUCCAAGGCGGACACCAUCCCGCGCUACAUCAGGUGAGGCAAGCCUUCACACUCGCCAAGGUUGCCAUCCACUAGCAAUUCGUCACAUGAAGGGUGCAAAGGAGAGGAGAGUAACCUGACUUGUUUCCGACAUCCCUAGGUUAAAACCAGGCACGGAGUCCAGUGUGGUGACAGAGAUCGAAAGCGAGCUCAAGUGUGAUCUCGUGAAGGUCUCGUGGCUGCCAGACUUCUAUGCGAUCCCGCCUGAAAUUCAGAUUGCUGGAUCCAAGGCUUAUCAGCAAGGGAAGGUGAGGAGGAACUUUUGUUACGAUUGUUUUGAAGCUGACCCAUGUUGCUCAGCGUAGUCUAAUUGUAUGCGACUCUAUGAUGUUAAUGUGCUUAUUAUUAGAUUUUUGUCAAGUGUACUGAGGCAAUUUAUUUAUCCUAGAUAGCAAUCGAAUAACAUUUAUGUUCUAUUGUUUACUAAGAGACCAAAUGCCUCAAACCGGUAACAGUUAGGUGAUGCCAUGAUGGUACAAGUUAAGCUGAAGCUGUUCAAUCUCAUUGUACUUUUGUGGUUGACACCUGAUUUGUAACGGAUUCUCUCAUAAAGCCAAGUGACACACUUGUUGUUAAUUGUACUCCCCCCGUUCCUCAAUAUAAGUCUUUUUAGAGAUUCCAAUAUAGACCACAUACGGAGCAAAAUGAGUGAAUUUACACUCUAAAGUAUGUCUAUAUACAUCCGUAUGUAGUCCAUAUUGAAAUCUCUAGAAAGACUUAUACUCCCUCCGUUCCUAAAUAUUUGUCUUUUUAGAGAUUUCAAAUGGACAACCACAUACGGAUGUAUAUAGACAUAUUUUAGAGCGUAGAUUCACUCAUUUUGCUCCGUAUGUAGUCACUUGUUGAAAUCUUUAGAAAGAUAAAUAUUUAGAACAGAGGGAGUGUUUAGGAACAGAGGGAGUAGGAGAAGCUGAAAUUUCCCAGUAAAAAGCUACCGUGUUGUCAUGUUCUUAUCAUGCACUCUUCUGUGCGUGACAUUUUGCUUCACCUAAGCAUCUUUAAAAACAUUUCAGAUCUAUGGGAUUGAUGCAGCUUCUGGAGCUGCCAUCUUAGCACUCGAUGUUCAACCAGGAGACCAUGUUCUUGACCUCUGUGCUGCACCAGGUAACUUAAUAUACUUCAAGUACACACUGGACCAAUGUUUUCUUAGAGCCAGUGUCUACCCUACAAUCAUAAAGGAGCACCCCUACCGAAUAUUUGUGUGGGCGGCAUGCAUUCACCAAUAUGGCAAGACCUAGUUUUCUCAAGGGCAUAAAAACAUGGAAAGCCUUUCCUGAUUGUUGAUCUUUAGAUAUCAUACAAAAUACAGUUUCAAGUAUGGCAGGUAUGUUGCAUUUAGGAGAGUGGGGUUUUACAUUCCUGUUGUUUGAUGGACCGGUUCGGUGUCUAGUUUGGUUCAUAUGUUGAAUUUUAUUCUCCGACAUGUCCAAUAUAGUAGUGUUAGUUCAACACAUAUUUCCCCAUCCUUGUGAUGAUAUUGUUUAGUUUGUUAUAAGGGAUUUGUUUGCUAUGGAUCCUGUAGCUUGUGUUAGACCUCUGCUAUCUGUUGGAUUUUUAUUCAGGGAUAUACUAACCUUUCAUCUAUAUGACAUGCAAGGUGCAAAGCUUUGCAUGCUUGCAGAUAUGCUUGGUAGCACAGGUUCUUUGACUGGUGUUGAUGUUGCAAAGCACCGUCUUGCAGCCUGUCGUACGAUGUUGCAGAAGUAUUCUCUUGGAGAUCGUAGUCGGCUCUUUGUUGCUGAUGGGACUUUGUUUUCCAUAUUGCCUGUGAACUCCAAUCUGGGGAGCAUGGAAGGUAUUUUCAGCAGAAGAAUCCAGUCCCGUUUUUGUUUUACUUCUUCUGCACGUAUGAAUGAUUUAGCUUGUUUUGAGUUCAUGCUCUUUGUCACAGCUUUUGUUGGAAUUGAGGAUAAUGGAAGCAUAUUCUCAGAAUGGACUUCAAAGAGAUCAUGGAAAGACAGACAGAAGUCUAAAAAGGCAAAAGCAGCCGGUUCACCUCAUCUACCAUCAACUUCCGAACCUGAACUGAUAUACUAUGGCAAAGAUUCAGGAUUAAUUGGAUUGCAAAAACGUUAUGUUCUUCACCCAUCAACUGAUGCUGCUGCCUGUACAUCUGGGUAUGAUAAGGUAUUCCUUUGCUUGUGUUAUUUUGUAAACUGCUAGUGUUAUCGUUUACUGAACUACACAAGUACUCUUGUGACUUUGAUUAGUAAAAAGAAGAAGUGGAAAUAUGCAUGAUCUACGUUGCUGCCAUUGAUUUUUUAAGCCAUCAUAGCCAACUCCACAUGUAGCUGCAAAUCAGACUGUCAAUUAGCUCUAAAAAGUGUACCUUUCACUCAUUCUGUUUGAGGACGAGGGAACACUUUUCACCUUCUGAAAGAGUACUGAAGCACUUUAUAGAACUCUAUCAGAUGCAGCUUAUGUUUGAGGUUGGAAUAUUCUACUGCAACUUAUUCGGCAACUUGUAUCAUCUCAUUUGUCCCUUUGGAUGAAAUGCAUGCAGGUCCUAGUGGAUGCAGAAUGUACUCAUGAUGGAUCGAUAAAACACAUUCAGAAGUUUGAGUUCUGGGGAUGGAAAACAUUAGACCGCCGUGUACUCAACGUAGAAAGAACUGGCAACCUACUUCAUCUUCAGGUACUACUUCGUUCUUGAUGUUUGCUUGAAUGGCUCUUGACCGAGCAAUCUGUAUCCAACAAUUAGCUACUCCCUCCGUCCCAAAAUAAGUGUCGCUGAUUUAGUACAAAGUUAGUUGUACUAGAUCAGCGACACUUAUUUACUAAAUCAGCGACACAUAUUUUGGGACGCGGGGAGUAGAUGAGAAGCUUAUGUUUGAUAUUUACUGAACUUUGAUGAUCUUAUGCAGUUAGGGCUUCUCACAAAUGGUUUUAAAUUAUUGAAAACAGGCGGAUCACUUGUCUAUAGUACUUGCAGGUGCGUAUCUCUUCACAUGCAAAUCUAGUCCUCAAUUGCGUCUCAGUAGUCUAGCCUUUACCGUGCUUAGAAUUUCAGUACAGUUUAUAGUUCAUGCCAUCACAUGACUAACAGUUUGUCUUGGAAUAGCUUGACUGUUGCACAAAACGAGAAUGUGGUUCAGCAAUUCCUCUCAAAAUAUCCUUCAGCAGGUACAGAUGUCCUGCUACCUGCCUUCAUCUAAUAUUUAUGUUGAUUAUCACUUCUAUAAAUGGAUUGUUUCAUGUUGGGCCUGCAACCUGCAGAACUGCUAAAGAUCGAUCCAGCCGAUAGUUGGCCCUGCAGAAGCGGCGACAUCCAGAAAACCUUGCGAUUCGACCCCGCGGCGUCGCAAACUAGUGGACUUUUCGUCGCCAAGUUUGUCAAGUUGUGAUGUUCCUUGUCAGAUGCUCACAUCUUACGUAUAAGAUAACUGUGAGCCAUCCCACCCAUCAGAUGUAUUUUUUGCUAGGUUUUACUCUAGUUCUUUAAACAACAGGUGAUCAGAGGCUGCUUGUUGUUUGUUUACUCUAAUUUGAAGUAGACUUCUUGGUUAAGCCUCGUUGGCUUUAGGCGUGUAGAAAGAGUUGUUGGGAAAUAGUACUCCCGUUGUUCACAAAUAUCCAUAAGAUGUUCAAACUUUUUUGUGAAUCUAAUGUAUAUAGACACGUUUUAGUGUGUUUGUUGACUCAUUUCAGUCAGCCUGUACGAAGUUCAUGUUGAAAUAUCCAAAACAUCUUAUAUUUGUGAACUGAGGGAGUAGUCUUGUUUGUGGCCUGCACAAAAAAUAUGUUCGCACUACCACAGAAUAUAGCAAUUACUAAGCGUCCCUGCCGGCAGCGCCCUGAGGUGCUCACGCCUACGCAGUUCGGCGGGUGGCGCGUACCCGACGCAAGGGUGCAGGCUGGCGUCCACGUCGCCGCCGGUCACCGUGCCGUGGGCCACCACAGCCGCUGGCCUUCAUCUUUCUAUAGCUACCGCUUGCUUGUGGAUUAUCGUGGUUUCUCCUCGCUAGGAUUUGGAAAUUAUCUUGUCCAACAAAAGUGAAGAUCUUUAUUUGGCGUACCUUACAUGGAAUCCUCCCUUAUCGUGUUACACUUGCUAAUAGACAUAUGAAAAUUUCACCCAUCUGCCCAUUAUGUUCGAACGGGCAUGAAGAUACUAAACACUUAUUAUUUUUAUGUUAAAAGGCAAAAGAGGUGUGGGAGAAACUAGGAUUGCACGAAGUCAUUAAAAAAGCCUGUGCGGUCGAUCGUGCGGGAGAGGCAGUACUUGAAUUUCUAAUUUUUAUGCCAGAACAUGAGCUAUCUACAAUGGGCACACAGAAUGUUCGCGAACUGAUCGCUAUAACAGCCUGGUAUUUAUGGUGGGAAAGACGUUCGCUAGUUCAUGAGCGGAAGACCCAAGAUGCAUACCAAAUUUUGAUGAGAGCCCGUGCUAUAACGACGAACUAUGUUAUUGCCCAAUCUUCCAAGGGAACAAAUAAAAUAGAGGGAUGGACGAGACCCCCUCUAGGUUUUGUAAAAUUAAAUGUCGAUGCUUCUUUCGAUCAAGACAUGCUUAGAGGCACAACGGGAGCUGUACUUAGAGAUGAUAAAGGAAGAUUUAUUGUUGGAGGGAAUUGGAAGAUGGAUUGGUGUGCAGAUAUUUUAACAGCAGAAGCCAUGGCACUACGUUUUGGCUUAUUACUUGCACAAAAGGCGGGAAGUAACCGACUUGUUGUUAACUCCGCAAUAUGGAAGUAAUUGACACGAUGAAGAAUGGAGGACAUACAGCGGGAGCGGCGGCAGCUGUGUUUGAUGGUUGUUAUUUUUUGGCUUGUGAUUUUUCGUUAGUUAGAUUUGAACACUAUAAUAAAAAGGCAAAUAAAGUAGCUUAUGAAGUUGCUAGAGUAGUCAAAUUUUCUGAGACAAGGGAUUGGUUUGAGGAACCUAUGAACGAUAUUGUAAUUUUUUUAUAGACGAUGUAACCAUUAUUACUAAUAAAUAAAGAGGAUGUUUUAUUUUAAAAAAAAAGGACUGGAGCUUGUGAUCAUGGAGCUAUACUGCUAUAGUGGUUUCUGCAUUUUAUGGCGUGGGAGUACAUAGUGAUCGAUGGAUGAAGGGGCGUGCUACGCAUCGCCGGGUGAUCUGCCGCAUCGACCGGCCGAGCACGUCUUCACCAUUGCAAUACGGGUCUUGUUGCAGAUUUUUUUUGGCAACAACUGUUUUGUUGCAAAAACAUUUUUGCAACUGAGGUUUUGUUGUAAUUUUUUUUUCAAACGAGAUCUUGUUGUAGAAAAUUUUCAUGAGACGUUUUGUUAUAAAACAUAAAUCCAUCGUAGACCAUUGCAACACCACUUAUGUUUCAGAAGCAUAGCUCCUAUUGCAUGAAGGAUGGUACGUUGACCCUCGCUUGAUGCAUGUCAUCCAGGGAAGGUGGCGGCCGCGGCCGCUGCGAUCCGCCGGUUGAUAGGAAGCGUUUCCCAUGGAUGAAGCCCACGACAACUUCUGCAUCAGAAGAUGAUUGUUUCUUAGCCUGCAGCGCCCAUUUUGUCAUGGUUGCUCGCCUCAAUGGUUCAGUGCAUUAGUAAGAUAAGUGCAUGCAUCUACUACAAAGCUACUAUCUCUGGUCAUGCAUGAACAAGAUCGAAUUAGUUACACAUAUGAACGCAAGAUCCAGAGUGGAGACAGUGAAUGAUCUGGAAAUGAUUCGAUUCAUAUUGUUCUGCAUUGAAAUAUCUCAGAUUACAUGUAUGUAUCAAUGUAUGUAUGUAUGUAUGUAUUCUUUAACCAUUCUUGUGGUAACAUCCCUGCAUGUUUUGCUCGAGCUUACUCAUGCCAUGGCUAGGACAGGAGCCGUACAUCUGCGGCGGCAGGCGCGGCUGAGCGGCGGCGAUGAGCGGCUUGGCCUUGGGCAUGGUCAUCCCGUAGACCUCGUCGGUGUCGAUGUCCUCUGGGCGGAGGCCGUCGGGCGGGGACCAGUCGAAGCAGUGGAAGAGCCUGGCGAGCGCCAUGAGCACCAGGAUCACGCCCAGCGGCGCCCCGGGGCACUUGCGCUUCCCGGCGCUGAAGGGCAGGAUCUUGAAGUCGGGCAGGUGGCUGAUCUCCACGCGCCCGCCGUCGGCCGGGAGGUGCCUCUCGGGGCGGAACUCGUCGACGUCGUCCCAGAUGCGCGGGUUCCGGCCCAGCGCGUGGGUGUUGAUGAAGAUCCUCGUCUGCGCCGGGAUGUCGUAGCCCAUGAUCGUCGUCGCCUUGAGGGACUCGUGCGGGAUCAGGAACGGCCCGGCCGGGUGCAUCCGGAAGGACUCCCGGACGACGCAGCGGAGGUACGUCAGGUGGGGGAGGUCCGACUCCACCACCAUGCGGCUUCGUCCGACGAUGGCGUCGAGCUCCUCCUGGAUCUUGCAGAGGACGCGGGGGUUCUUGAUCACCUCGGCCAUCACCCACUCGUUGGUCACUGAUGAAGUAUCCGUAGCAGCAGCGAUCAUGUCCUGCGUAUACACACAUUCAGAAUGAUCAUGUAUGCAUGUUCAUAUGCACUUUCUCUUUUAACAGCAGCAGCAGUGUUCAUUUGUAAUACCAAACAUCUACAAACCUAAAUGAAGAUGAUCUACAAACAAAAUAACAUGGUGGUUUAUUUAAUGCAAGCAAGAACAACUACUCGUACUUAUGAUAACAAAACCCAAACUUCUGGGGGAAAGAGCAAAUUACAAACUCUGCUGUGAAAUCAAACAGUGAACUCCCUACUCUCUUUUUACCAUCUAUCUACUCUAUUUAUCAAAUUCUCAAAGGGAGGAGUGUCGCAAAAUAACUUUUUGGUAGUCAGCUCUUUAAUAAAAAGAUAAUUGCACAACAACUAUGAAGCGAAAUCAAUUUCAUGACUAACACAUGCAAUGGUGACAGAGCACAAACAUAGUUGGUUAAAAGACCAAGCUAGCAUAAAGAAAAUGAACUGGAGGGUCUGUAACAGUAAGGAUACCUGCAUUAAGGCUUUGAUCUCCACAUCAUCCAUGUGGUCAUUCCCAUUCUCACCAGGCAAGGAAAGCAGCACAUCAACAAAGUCCAUGUCUUCUUUGCUAUCAUCACCAUCAUCAUCAAGGGAUGCACCACUCUUCCUGCCAUCCCUUGCCUUCCUGUGCUCAUCAAUUAUCUUCUGGUGAAAAUCAUCCACCUUCUUCUCAACCUCUCUCAUCUUCUUCUCGCAACCAUAUGGAUCAAUCCACCUCCAGGCAGGCAAGUAAUCCCCAAGAUAGAUCAGGCCCAGCAGAAAGAACAGCUCAUGGGUGAUGUGCAUGAACUCCAUCGCUUCACCAGGGCCUGCUGACUGCAGCCCAAAGUACUGCUUUCCAAGUAACAUUCUCGUCACAUUGUUCAUCGAGAAUGCCCCGAGAACCUCUCUGAGAUUCACAGGCUUACCUGACUGGGAUUUAGCCCAUACAAACUCACAGAGGUGCUCAGCUUCCUCAGCUCGGUGAGCAGCAAAAGAUUCAAGCCGCCUGGUGGUAAGCAGGUGCUCCAUGCAAACCCUCCUCAUCCUCUUCCAGUUUGGCCCCAGUGGAGCAAGAGCCACAUCGCCACAGCCAUAGGCAAGGUGGACAGCAGCCAAUGUCCGAGGCCGUGAAGCGAAGACCUCGUCUUGCCGGAUAAGUAUUUCACGGAUGACUUCAGGGUCAUCGGUGGUGAUGGCAUCAAUGGUUCCAAGACGAAGAUAGACAAGGGGGCCAUACUUGGUGCAAAAUCGAGCAAAGUCCUUGUGAGGAAGAGGACUCAACUGGAGAAGGUUCCCAAAGAUUGGCCAUCUUGGAGGUCCCGGUGGAAGCCUUAGCCUCAUCCCAUUGAGUUUUUUCCAAGACACUGCAGCAAAGAUGCAUGAGCAUAAGAUGAUGGAAAGAAGAAAUGGAUCCAUAGGUCACAAGCUAAUGGCAAUUAUAGCCGAAUUGCAAAUGUUGUUCUAUUUAUGGGAUCCCGUCAAGCUUGCUUAUGAAAGAAACUUAAGUGAUGAAGUUGAAGCGAAUUGGUUAGAGUAUUAGACUGGUCAUGAUUCUUGUGCUCUUCUGUAUGGUUAAACAUCUCACCUAACAUCUUAUAACAAAUGUCAUGAUCUUGACAUGACUAAGGGAGUGAUGCAAAAACUGAAAAAUGCCUGGGGAUAUAUAGAAAAGAACCAGGAUAAAAUAAAGGCCAUCAAACCUGACCACAGAUCAUGUAUUCACAAAAUAUAUAGCUCUUCCCCACUGCUAUCCAGCAACUCACUCGGCACAAAUUCUAUUUCUACAAAACCAUUUUUUUAUUGAAUCAGGCACAAACGGUGGACCGCCAUCUAGGAGUUAGGUUAUAGUUUUGAUAACAGGUGUUCUGCAUCUGCCUAUCAUUACGAAGGCAUAAUAUAUUUAGCAUGCAAAUCUUACUCCAACAUCUACCACAUUGAUAAUAUACAAAGAGAGAAAAAUCCUAAAUCUGUUGUAGAUAACAUGGAGAAAUACAUCCUUAUUCCUUCUCAAAUGCCACAUCUAACUCCCUGCUGUACAGCAAUGUUCCAUGUGUGCUUGUUCUCCCUUCUCCCCGUAAGUCUAUCUUAAGAGUAAGAAACUUAUAUUGCUGAAAGAAAAGAUUAAUAAGAAACAAACCACUAAACUUACCUUGGCCAUGGUUGUCUCCUUAGAAUCAGCCUUAUGCUUCAGUGCUUCACUCGGUGCAGAACAUACUCCUGUAUCAAUUGAGAACAUGGCCAAGAGUUCCUUGUUCUUUGGCUCUUCUCUGUAGCAGAGGAGUUGUGUGCAUAGAAUCCUCAACUUUUCCAUUGCAUUAAAACAGGGACUGCACAUGAUCAUGCGAGCUCUUUCUGAAAUCAUCUACCAAUUUUCUUGUCUCAACAUGAUCAAUAAAAUCAACACCAACUCUCGGCAUUACAACAGUUGUGGUAUGAAUUUUAUUAUUUUGGGUUUUGGCUUGCCAGUUAUCUAGAACUACAAGUCUAGAAGUGUUCACUAUGUAUUCUGUUUUCUGCAGCCUUAUCCUGUAUAAUAAGGCUAUAGCCAGGGGUUUUACUGGCCAUGUUGGACAACUGUAGAACUUUUAGCAUGUCUCUGUCAUCCUUCAUCCCCGCAGAUGAGAGCAUAUUUGACAGGACGGUAUAAGCUGCUGCGUCAUAAGGAUCCAACUCAAGAAGCUUCUGUGCUGCUAUUUUUGCAUAAGCAAGAUUAGAAUGGAGACUACUAGCACUGAGCAAAGCUGCCCAUGCAUCAGAAUGAUCAUUCUGGGGCAUCGACUUAAUCAUUUCCAGUGCUUCGGCAAGGAGGCCAGCACGACCUAAAAGAUCAACCAUACAUGUAUAAUGGUCAGGGUUUGGUUCAAUGCCAUAGACUGAUCUCAUUGACUCAAAGUAGUUGUAACCUUCUUGAACCAGACCAGCACGUGCACAGCCAGUCAGAAUUCCCACGAAUGUCGCAUGGUUAGGCUUGUGGCCAUCAAUUUGCAUUUUGGUAAAAAGCUUGAAUGCAUCUUCAGCAAAAUUAUGUUGCGCAAAUGCUGUAAUCAUAGAAUUAGUAGCAAUAAGACUUGGACUGCUAAUGGCUGAGAAAACGCGAUAAGCCUCAGCCAACCUUCCGCAUUUUGCGUACAUUGAUACCAGAGAAGUGUGAACAGAAGAGUCAAAUACCCAUCCCAUGUUGAUUGCAUAUGCAUGAGCUUGCAUUCCUUGAUUCAACGUUGUCAAGCUAGCCAAAGCACUGAGUAGACAACUAAAAGCUACUGUAUUAGGUUUGCACCCUUCUCGUGCCAUGCGACAAAACCACCGCACUGCACUUAAAUAGUCUCCAUUUGUAGCAAGACUAGAAAUGACUGCAGUCCAAGCAACCUCAUCUUUUCCUGGCAUUUGCUCAAACAGGUCAACAGACUCCCUCAUCCAACCCCUGUUAGCGAACCCAACAACCAUCGACGUCCAAGAAACAGCAUCCUUCUCAGGCAUUAACUUGAACAGGACAUGUGCUUCUUGAACCAAGUUAUGCUGAACAUAGCCUGUGAUCAACGAGUUCCAUGAUACUAUGUCUUUCCACUUCAUGCAAGCAAAUGCCCUUCUAGCAUCAACCAUCCAACCAAACCGGGAAUACAGGAUGAUUAUUGAAUCGCCCAAGAAAACAUCCAUUUCAAAACCCAUUGCUACAAUCAAACUGUGAAUCUGAACUCCUUCUCUGACAAGGCAAGCCUCAGCACAAGCAUCUAGCACAACUGAGAGUGUCGUUGUAUUAACCUGAACACCUGCCCUUCUCAUGUCCAGGAACAGCAACAGAGCAUCUCUGUACAUCCUAAGUUUCACAUAUCCACGAAUCAUCGAGGUCCACGACACAACAUUCCGCUCUGGCAUGGUCUCAAACACCUUCCUCGCCUCCGACACGCUUCCGUGUUUGCAGAGCCCAUCGACCACCACGCUCCAGGAUAUGACAUCCCUCACCGCCAUUCCGUCAAACACCCUCAACGCCAUGCCAAGCUUCCCAGCCCUCAAGUACCCGGCCAUCAGCGCAUUUGACCCUACUGGGUCACGCCACUGAUGUGGCAUCUCCGCAUACACAGCCUCAGCUUCACGAAGCAUCCCUGCCCUGGCGAGCCCCGUGAUCAUGGCGCCAUAGGACACCGCGUUCCUGACCGGCAUCUUGGAGAAGAGCGCGUGAGCGGCGGCUGGUUGCCCCAAGCGGAGGUAGACGGAGAGCAGGGCGUUCCAGGAGGGGGCGUUGCGGCGGGGCAUGUCGUCGAAGACGAGGCGCGCGGAGGCGAGGUCGCCGUUGUCGGCGUAGGCGGUGAGGAGAGCGGUCCAGGAGAUGACGUCCCGGCGGGGCAUUUGGUCGAACAGCUGCUGGGCGUCGCGGAGGCGGCCGCGGCGGCCGUACGACGUGAGCAGCGCAUUGAGGUGGGCCGUGUUGGGGCGGCGCGGCGGGGGCUCCUCCUCCGGGAGUGCGUACUGACGGGGCACCACGGUGAGAGUGGCGGUGGCCGGAGCUCUCGGCAAUCGCAGUCGCAACGCGGCCGUUGUCAUUGAAUGAAACCACUGUAUGUGCCAGUGGGGGCAUGAACACCGGCUACGACAGGAGAAGGGAUAACAAUUCUACAUAUGAGCCCAUUUGGUCGAAGAGUUAACAAUUCGACAUUUUUCAGGAGGUAAUAGCACUGCAGUGCCUGAACUUGUAUGUCAGGUGAUGAUUUGGUCUUUGAAGUUGAAAAAGUGGAUUAUUUAGUCCCUGAACUUGUCAUGGAUAUGCAAAUUUAGUCCAGGGUCAAUCAGAACUGGCCAAGUGGAUGCCAAGUGGCCCGGCUGGUCAGCGCGCUGCAUUUUUCACUUAGCCCCCUUCCUUUGUGACGAAUCAACCCGCACUACUCCUCUUCCUCGUCGAAGCAAAAAACACAUGAAUUUAUUGUGUCCCCUCCCCAUCCCAAUCAUUCAUCCACUUGGCGUCUGUCUUGCUCGGGCCGAUCGCGUGCGGCGGGAGCUGGCUGACGUCAGCUACAAUGGCGGUGGCGCCGCCGGAGUACACCGGCGGUGUCGUCCCUCCUCCGACCACGCAGCAAGUCCGCCCGCACGGCGUCUUUCCUCCCGACUAUGGUGUGUCGUCCCCUUUCUGCUCUGUUCCUCCCCCUCCUCCUCUGGUUUGAUCGUCCUGCUGUGUCGUCCACAGCACUGGCGGAUCACCCCCUUUGGGUAGCGUUGCGGGUAUUUACGGUGGAUUUCUAUGUCUGUACAGCCUCCGGCGCUGCGAAGCUGGUUAUUGUGGUGGUAGUUGAUUUCAGGCUAGGGUUUAGGCUUUGAAAUUUGGGAUUUUGCCAAGAAGCUAGGGUUCUUGUGUUUCAUGUUCUUUGGGGCACAAUGUACUGUUUUGAGUAGUUAACCUUGACCAGCAGGGCACAUGGGUGCGCAAUUUGUUUUGGUUGUAGGGUUGACAUUGACCAGCAGGGCCCAUGUUUGUACUUCUAAAAAUAUGAAAUUUCUAGUUGUAGUGCUGCUGUUUAUCAGAUACUCUGCAGUUUAGCAGUGCCACUACAUCAUUAGAAUGCUUUCUUCUAGUUUUAUCUUGCUAGAUCAGUUAUCUGAAUGUAGUGAGUUAACUGAAUUUAGUCAGUUAACUGAAUUUAGUCAGUUUACUGUAUACUAUUGUUGAUUGUGGUUGGUUGAGUUUGGUUGAAGAUUGUGCUUACCCUGUUCUUGCAAAAAGAAUGCAUCAGUGAAUUUACUCCGUGAACUUGCAGCAUGCAGUUAACUGAAAAAAUUCAGUCAACUUGCUGCUUGGAGUUAACUAGCAGGUUACACAAUUUUUUGUAUGAAUUUAUUAAGUUGAGUUGCAGUUACUUUAGUGUUCAGUUACCUACUUAGAGGUUGUUUGAGGAUGGUUUUGCUUACAUUAUGCACUUUGUUGCUGCAGUUUGUGAUUCAACCAUGGGACAGAUUGUGGACACCCCUUUCUUUACACUGGAACUUGAGCAUGGUGGGCUUUUCUGUGGACCAAGAAAUAACAUGGAGUACUAUAAUCCUUCUGUGGAGGUGCUUGACUAUGUUGAUGCUGGCACAUUCUCAUAUUCAGUUAUUGAAGAGCAUUUGCUAUGGUUGGGAUACCAUGUGGCAUAUUGGUGCAUGCCUGACAAAAUAAUUUCAGAUGGUAUGUUGAGAAUUAGAGGUGAUGAGGAUGUGCAACACAUGAUCAGAGCUAGUAGUCAACAUAAGGUGCUUGCAAUAAUGGUUGACCAUGCAGAUUUCAUCAGUAAUUGCAGGGAAGAAUUGGUAUUGACAGUGCCAACAGUUCAUAGUUCUGUCAUAAUGGCCAGGUCAAAUGUUGUUGCAGUCAGUGCAGCAUCUUCUCAUAGCCUCAUUUCAGUCAAUGUUGAAGAUCCCAUUUCAGAGGUGGAAGCCGACAACUUGGUUGCUAAUGGAACUGGGACUUUGCUAACUGAUGGUGCAACAGCAGAUAACUUGCUGACAGAUGGUGGAGCAGCAGAGAAUGUGUUGUAUGAUGGUGCAGAGGAUGCAGUGCUCUCAGAUUCAGAGUUCAGUGAUAGUGAUUAUGACAUAGAUGAUGGAGAUGAUGAUUUAUAUGAAGACAACAUUGAUUUUGAUGUUGAUGAAGAAGCUGAGCAAGUUGAGGAAGAGGUGGAGCCAGAUUAUGUACUUGAGGAUGAAGAUCUAAACCUCUCUGGGUUUUUUUGAAACCUAUCUAAACCUCUCUGUUGAAGAGCAAGAGCAACUCAAAUACAAGUUCAAAGCUUUCAAUUCCAAGGUGGACAUGAAAUCCCCUAUAUUUAAAUUAGGGAUGGUAUUUGCUGAUGUGGUUGAGCUGAGGAAAGCUCUUAUUGCUUAUUCUAUAAGGAACAGAGUGCAAAUCAAGAAGGUCAAGAAUGAUAAAAUCAGAUUAGAGGUUGUUUGUCAGAGAGGUUGCCCAUGGCUGCUUAAAGCUAGCAAAGACAACAGGACUGGAGGAUUUGUCAUCAAGGCCUACUUUGGAGAGCAUGUCUGUCAGAAAAAGUGGAAGUUGAAGGAUUUGACAGCCAAGUUUCUGUGCCAGUUUUUCUUGGAUGAGUUCAGAGAUGACCAGAAGAUGUCACUUGGAACAUUUUCAAGGAAAAUUACUAAGGAAUUCAAUGUUACUCCUAACAGAUGGAAGCUUUUGCUAGGGCGAGAAAGCAAGCACUUAAUGAGAUUCAUGGUGAUGAGGAAGAGCAAUUCAGUAGGCUUUGGGACUAUGGACAAGAAUUGAGGACCAAAAACCCUGGGUCUACAUUUCUGUUAACAACUUCAGUGGUGAAAGAUACAAAAUUUCCAUUGGGCAGUAAAUGUUUGAAAACAUUGUACUGGUCAUAUGAUACAUGUAAGAGAGGAUGGCUAAAGGGCUGCAGGCCAAUCAUUUUCAUUGAUGGUUGUCACAUGAAAACAAGGUUCAAAGGAGUGCUACUUAGUGUUGUUGGUAUUGAUCCCAAUGACUGCAUAUUCCCAAUUGCAAUGGGAUGGGUGGAAGUUGAGUGCACGGGUUCAUGGGAGUGGUUUCUGACCACUCUCAGAGAUGAUCUCAACAUCACUAACACUGCCCCUUUCACAAUCAUGAGUGACAAACAGAAAGGUUUAAUAAAUGCAGUGCACAAAGUUUGGCCAGAUUCAGAACACAGGUUUUGUGUCAGACAUAUUUACCAGAAUUUUAAUGAGAAGCACAAAGGAGAGGUACUGAAGCAAGACUUGUGGGCAAUUGCAAGAUCUCCAAACAAAGUGAAGUGGAGAAAAAACUGUCAGAAAAUGGAUGACUACGGUGCAGCUGCUUUCCACUGGACUGAAAGACUAGAGUGGAAAACUUGGUGCAAAGCAUUCUUCAGUGAAUUCCCCAAAUGUGGCAUCCUGCUCAACAAUAACUCCGAGGUUUUCAAUAGGUAGUUUGGUGCUCACUUUCCUAAGUUGUUUUAAUUUUAACAUAUAGCUCAUCUGCACUGCUAAUUAUCGUAUCAUACUAACCUGUUUUCUUCCUAUCUUUAUGCAGCUACAUCCUUGAGGACAGAGAGAUGACAGUGUUUAGCAUGCUUGAGUACAUUUUCUAUAAGAUGAUGCACAGGAUUGUUAGCAAACAAAGUGAAGCUAAUGAAAAGUGGACAGGCCAGAGAAUAUGUCCCAAGAUCAAGAAGAAGUUAGAUAAGAACACAAAGUUUGCAGCUAACUGUCAUGUAACAGAAGCUGGCCAGCAAAUCUUCAGAGUUCAGUCUGGCAACAAUAGCUACACUGUGGAUCUCUGCUUGCACACUUGUGAUUGCAGGAGAUGGCAGUUAUCUGGAGUACCAUGUGGCCAUUGCAUAGCAUGUUGCAGGGAGGAGAGAAUUGACCCAGAGACACUGGUUCAUGACUGCUAUACUGUUCAAACAUAUCUCAAAGCUUAUGGAUACACUCUUUGUCACGCCCAAUAUGCGACCCUAUCCAAAAGGAACUCGAAGGUCCCACCAAGGAUAGACCCGCAUAUUGAAACGCUUUUGCAAGGUGGAUAUCAUUACAUCAACAUUACAUAAUUAGAUGGGGAUACAUACAUAAGGCAUACAAUGCCACACGAAUACAACAUCAUCUUACUUAAGAGCACCAUCCGACUACGGAUGAAACACAAACAGAAACUCAAAUGACAUCCACCCUCCUAGCCCAGGCUGCCGACCUGGAACCUAUCCCCUGAUCGAAGAAGCAGAAAAAGAACUCCAAAACAAGCAAACAUCGCUCUCACGUCAUGAUCAUCGCAUAACCUGUACCUGCAACUGUUGUUGUAGUAAUCUGUGAGCCACGAGGACUCAGCAAUCCCAUUACCAUGGGUAUCAAGACUAGCAAAGCUUAAAGGGAAAGGAAGGGGUAAAGUGGUGAGGUUGCAGCAGCGACUAAGCAUAUAUGGUGGCUAACAUACGCAAAUAAGAGCGAGAAGAGAGCAAAAGGAACGGUCGUGAAGCUAGCAAUGAUCAAGAAGUGAUCCUGAACUCCUACUUACGUCAAUCAUAACCCAAAAACUGUGUUCACUUCCCGGACUCCGCCGAAAAAAGACCAUCACGGCUACACACACGGUUGAUGCAUUUUAAUUCGGAUCUGGUGUCAAGUUAUCUACAACCGGACAUUAACAAAUUCCCAUCUGCCCAUAACCGCGGGCACGGCUUUCGAAAGUUUAAACCCUGCAGGGGUGUCCCAACUUAGCCCACGAUAAGCUCUCGCGAUCAACGAAGGAUAUACCUUCUCCCAGGAAGACCCGAUCAGACUCGGAAUCCCGGUUUACAAGACAUUUCGACAAUGGUAAAACAAGACCAGCAAAGCCGCCCGGAUGUGCCGACAAAUCCUGAUAGGAGCUGCACAUAUCUCGUUCUCAAGGCACACCGGAUUGUCCAAACUUUCGUAGGCCAACCCAGAGUUGCCCCUGGUGGCCACCGACGGUUGACAGGUUGGACCAACACUCACGACGAGCACUGGCCCGGGGGGGGGGGAUAAAAUAAAGAUGACCCUCGGGCUCCGGAAACCCAAGGGAAAAAGGGCUAGGUGAGGCAAAUGGUAAAACCAAGGUUGGGCCUUGCUGGAGGAGUUUUAUUCAAAGCGAACUGUCAAGGGGGUCCCAUAAAUCACCCAACCGCGUAAGGAAUGCAAAAUCCGGGAACAUAACACCGGUAUGACGGAAACUAGGGCGGCAAGAGUGGAACAAAACACCAGGCAUAAGGCCGAGUCUUCCACCCUUUACCAAGUAUAUAGAUGCAUUAAUUAAAUAAGAGAUAUUGUGAUAUCCCAACAUAAUCCUGUCCAUCAUGGGGCAAUCUUCAACUUCACCUGCAACUAACAACACUAUAAGAGGGGCUGAGCAGAGCGGUAACAUAGCCAAGCAAUGGUUUGCUAGGAAGGGUGAAAAGAUUAGAGGCUGACAUGGCAAUUGGGAGGCUUAAAGAGCAAACGAUAGGUAGCGCAGCAAAGCGAUAGAACGAAGCAACUAGCAUAGCAAUGAUAGAAGUGAGAUCCAGGGUAGCGGUCAUCUUGCCUGAAAUCCCGCUAGGAAGAAGAACGAGUCCAUGAAGAAGACGAACGAGAGUAGUCGAACGAAUCCUCACAAUCGCAACAUUACCGGAACUAAGAAGCAACACCGGAAAGAAACAAACAACACGGUAAACAACCAUCACAUAAACAUGGCAUGAUGCACAAUCAAGUAUGAUGCAUGUCCGGUUUAAUGAGGCAUGGCAUGGCAAAUGCAACCAAACAAUACUACAAGUUAAGUGGAGAUCAAUAUGCAACGAGUUGCAUAUUGACAAAACACCACAUUGACAUAUUUAGUUUAAUCUCGUUUAAGCUACCAAACAAUAUUAAAAGUUGUUAAACAUGGCAAGAGGUGAGGCAUAAUUAAACUACCUAUUUAGGCAAGUUUAAAUGAGGCCGGAAAUAACAAACAACAAUUCCGGAAAAUCCUCAUGUGCAUAUUUUAGAUUUGGUACUGUUCUGCCCUAAAACAUAUUUUAGAGUUGUUAAACAGGAAAAUAAAGUGCACCAUGUUAAACUAGGCAUUUUUCCACCCCAUUUACAUAUAAAGAACAUUUAAUUCCGAGCUACGGUUAUUUAGUUAUGAAAUAAAUCAUUUUAAUAUGGCAUAUUAGCAAAUUUAAACAAACAGCAAGUUAAACAUAUUUAACAUGGAUGAAAGUGGCAAAUCAUUAAUCUACACAAAAUUCUAAGCAUUUUACAUGUUUGAAUCAUUUUAAUUCGAUGCAUGAUUAAUGAGUUAUUAAUGCAUGAACUCUAGGGGGUUUUCUGCAAAACAGGUUUCCUGUGGAUAAUGCUAAAAUCGCAGACGGGGAAAAAACAUGCAUGGGCCGAAUCUGAUUAGCCCAAUAGUGUACAGGAGAGGGGCUGGAGGGGCGCUCACCCAUGGGCCUUAGCAGGCCGGUCGGUUUGGAGAGGUGGAAGGGGGGCGCUGGGCCUGCUGGAUCUGGCGAGGCUAGGCCUUGGCGCGGAGGCAGGUGGGUCAACGCAGGCGGCUCGAGCAGAACUUGGCACUGGUCGUCGUCCUUGCCUGCUCGCACGCAGAAGCAGGGGAACGGCGCACCGACGCGACAUCGGCAAGGCAGCAGCGGAGGGCGGGACUGGCCGGCGAUGAGGAACUGCGAUGAGGAUCCGGCGCGGGCUCGGGUUCCAGUGGCCGGAUCCGGAGGGGUCGGCGAGGUGGAGGAAGGCGAGGCGCGGACGGACUUGGCGCUCGAGACGGACAGGAGGGCGCCGUCCUCGUCAGGAACCGUUGAAGACGACGGCGACAGGGACUGCGGCAGGCGAUCGGCGCAGUUUGGGCGGCGGAGCUCGUCGCGGAGGGGCGGCGCGGCGGCCGUGGUGGUCAACGCGCAGGGGCGGGAUGAGGCGCGAGCGAGGCUCUCGUCGAGGUCCUCCGGGAAGCAGAGCAGCAUCGCGACGCAGAGCAGGGAGGAGCUCGGGCGACAGGGACAGCUUCGGCUGAUGGUUCUCUGAUGGAAAAAGGAAACAAGAUGGAGAUGUGAGAGGGAGAAGAGAGAAGCAGGAAGGAAGGGGCGGCGCAGGGCUUAUCUGCUGGUGGUGGUUGCCGGCGGCGAGGUUCGCCGGGGUAGCGGGGUCGCAAGGUUGGAGGAGCUCGGACCUCAGAAGCUCUCCACGAGGCUGGAUCGAGAGCGGCUGGUUGUGCGUGGGUUGGGUGGAUGGAUCGAUGGGAGAAGGUGGUAGGGGAGAUCGAGGAAGAAGGAGGCAGCGGCUGAUUGGAGCGAAGGGGAUCUGGAUCGGGCUCUGGUUGGUGACGCUGAAAACGAGGGAGGGAGAGAGGCUGGCUGCGGGCUUGGAUCCCCAUGAAGAGAGUGGCGGCGGCGGGUGAGGGAAUUUUGGUGGAUGGGACAGACUAGGAUCUAGGGUUAGGCAAAAUAUAUAGCAAGUGGGUUUUGGGUUAGGGGUAUUAGGUCCCUCCGAUCUUAAUUGGACGGUCCCGGAUAAAUAGGCUAGCGAGACCAAAUAAGAAAACAGAGAUGUUUUCGGGAUGUUUGGGGAUGAUCUGGAUCCAACGGUGACGACUGCUCGGGUCGGGUUCGGGGGAGUUCCGGACGCGCGCGCGAGGGGGCUGCGAGCUGGCAAGAGAGGUUAGGUGGUCACGGUCAAGAGGGAAGCAAAAACCCGAUUGGUCUGGAACGGUCAACGAAAGCAAGGGGUGACACGGCAACUACGAGCGGAUACGGGUUUUACGAAAACAUAUGAUGCGAUGCACAUGAUGCUAUGAGAUGAGAUGCAUGACAAGAACAAAAUGCAAAACAAAAGACACAAACCCAACCACGAAGGAAAAAUAACAUAUCGCAUCUCCGAAAAAGGCAAGAGUUGGAGUUACGAAUAUGGAAAGUUGCAUCCGGGGCGUUACACUCUUGUCCCUCUUGCAGACCCUAAGGAGUGGGAGAAACAGAAUGGUUAUAAGGUGUAUCCACCGGUGUUCACCAAACAGUUGGGUAGACCCAAGAAAAACAGGAAGAAGACCCCAGAGGAGAAGAUCAAGAAUGGUGUUAGGGUUUUGAACAAAAAAGGUGCUACAAUGCACUGCUCUAUUUGUGGGAGAGCUGAUCACAACAGAAAGGGGCAUUACAGAUGGCAGGAGGCUCUCAUUGAAGAAGGUGUAGAGGUUGUUGAUGAGAACUAUGAUGACCCAACAUUUCUUCAGGUGAAUGAAUUUUACUGAACUUAAAUUCAGUUCACUGAAUGCAUUUCACUGCAUUUUACUGAAAUUGUUGUACUUAUCUGAAUUUGUGCAGAACAUCUUCCCUAACCAGUCAGAUCCUUUACUGGAUCCAAUUGACACACCAUUCAGUAUGGUCUACAACAUGACUCAGAGAGAGAUUUCAAGAAGAGCUCCUCAGAGGGUUCAUGGGCCACUACCUGAGCAAUCUUCAUUUGUUGCUGUUGGUGCUGCAAUACCUCAGCCAAGGGUUACUACAGAAAUGAACAUAGAUAGACAGAUAAGGGCAACCAUAGUAGCUGACAGAGAAGGAUCUGGUAGGGGAAGAGGUAAAAAAAGACAAAGAAAUCCAGAUGCAGUUGCAGCCAGAGGAGCAACCACAGAAAGAGGAAGAGGGUCAAAUGUAGGUAGAGGAAGAGGAGCAAAUGCAAAUGCAGGGAGAGGAAGAGGACCAAAUGAAAAUGCAGGGAGAGGAAGAGGAGCAAAUGCAAAUGCAGGGAGAGGAAGAGCAAAUGCAAAUGUAGGGAGAGGAAGAGCAAAUGCAAAUGAAGGUAGUGGAGAAGGUCCAUUUGCAGGGAUAGGAGAAGCAGCAUAUGCUUGGAGAGGAGGAUCAAUACCAUCUGCAGGGAUAGGAGAAGCAGCAUUUGCAAAUCCAUAUGCUUGGAGAGGAGGAUCAAUACCAUCUGCAGGGAUAGAAGAAGCAGAAAAUGCAAAUCCAUAUGCUUGGACAGGAGGAGCAAUACCAUUUGCAGGGAGAGGAGGAGCAGCAAAUGCAAAUCCACAUGCUUAGAGAGGAGGAGCAAUACCUGUUGCAGGGAGAGGCAGAGGAAAUGUUCCAUAUGCAGGAUGGAGAUGGCUUCUAUUUGGAGAUCAGAGGACAAUUCCUGAUCUCAAUGCUCCUACUGAUUUCAUGGCACCACAUCAGUGAAUUGGUGCCAGUUAUUGUCUGCCAUACUUUUUGUUAAGGCCUACAGUAAUUUAAAUUAUGGACAUGCCUUUUUUGAUAGGCAAACAGUGGCUUAUAUUGCCUAUUUUUUGAUGGCAAACAGUGGCAUUCGUUGCCCUUUUUGUAACUAAAUUUGAUGAUGAUGCAUUUUAGUGAUCUAGUUUAAGUUGGAAUUAGAAGAUGCAGCAUUAGUUAAGUGAUUUAGUUAACUGCAUAUGCAGAUAACUGAAUUUAGUUAAGUGAUUUAGUUAACUGAAUACUGUUGUUGUUUUGGAGUUCAGUUAAGUGAUCCAUUUCUGCUGUUUGUUAACUGAAUAUUGCUGUUGUUUUGGAGUUCAGUUAAGUGAUUUAGUUAACUGCAUAUGCAGAUAAGUGCACAUGUAGUUCACUGAAGAAAAUUGUUGUUGUUAACUGAAUUUUGUUGCUUUUAACUGAAAAAAGCUUUAAAAAAUGUUUUGGAGUGAAUACUGCUGUUGUUAACUGAAUACUGAUAUGUUUUGUAGUGAAUACUGUUGUUGUUAAUUAAAAAAAUCCAAAAAAAAUGUUUGUCCUGGGUAUCAAACCCUGGACCCUUUGUUUAAUAAGUUGAGCUCCCUACCAGUGCGCUAGUACUAGUGAUCUUGCUAGAUACUCAUUGCGCCGCUUGUUAUAGUGAUCUUGCUAGUACUAGUGCUUAUCAAAGCGAUGAUGUUCCCUCUUCCACUCCUAUUAAGAGGCCACCACCCACCGCGCACCGUCCCCACUCACCACUUGCGUUUCACGAUGCCUCGGGCUCUACGCUCCCCACCUCCCACCCCACCACAAGAAAACCCUUGCCGGCCAUCUCGACGCCGCCGCCGACGCCAUGGACAACCACCCUGCAUGGCAGAGGAUGGUCGACGAGCUGGCAGGCGACGACUAGGUCGCACGCGCGGAGCUCCAGGAGAUAGGCAGGUGGUUCCCAAGCAUCGACAUGCUUAGGUACCACGCGCAUGCCCUCAUCGACGCGAUGACAGACGACGAGAAGAUGCGCGCUCUCGUGGACGGCCCAGGUACCCCUCUGGCCAACAUCUUCCGUUUCGCAAUGGCGGAGACGCGCUCCGACGAUCCGCAGAAGCGCUCGUGAUGGUGGAUCUACAGGUCUGCCAUCAUGCGGGAGCCGCAGCCGGAUCCGAACCGCGUGUGGUCGAGGAUGCAGCGUGUCCACGACGUGGUUGUGGCCCUGCCUAUGCCGGCACCCCUCGUCCACAUCAACGACGACGAUGUCUCUCUGUCGUCCGACUCGGAGUACUGCAAGGUGGACUCGGACAACGACUUGGGGUACAGAGGGGAUUCGGACUCCUCUAAAUCGUAUGCCUCGUCUGACGAUGUGACGCCCGGAUAAUUAAGCUACAGUAAUCCCCGCUAAUGAUGCCACGUCACCUCGGUUACUGUGGAUAAACUCGCAUUAGUUCGGAACCUAGUUCGAAUUUCAAAUUCAAAAUCGAGCAAACAAUAAAAGUUUUCAAAUAUUAAGAUUUAAAUGUUCGGAGUGAACCAAAUAAUACAUAGGUAAUUAUGGUGGAGAAACCAAACUUUGAUAAAAUGUUUAUAGGCCCUAAAACAAUUAAAACAAUAGUGAAAACAAUUAUUUAAAUACCUUUUUUUAAUUAAUAAAAUGUCAAACUAAUUUAUUUGAGGAUUAGACUUUUUGUGACUAUGGACUAAGUUGAAAUACUAAAUUAGAUGCUACGUGUGUAUUUUAAUAAAACUAAAAUAAUAGGAAAAGGAACAAAACAGAAAAAAAAUAAAAAGGAAGAACCCCCCUCCCCCUGGGCCGAAUGGCCCAGCUAGCCAGCAGGCCAUCAGGCCAAAAGGUCCAGCCGGCCGGAUCCCACUCCCCACUCCCCUUAUCCACUCGAGCAACCGAACCCUAGCCCCCACGCACCCCACUCCCCCCCUGCUCGCUCCUCUCCCCAUCCCACGACCCGAUCNNNNNNNNNNNNNNNNNNNNNNNNNNNNNNNNNNNNNNNNNNNNNNNNNNNNNNNNNNNNNNNNNNNNNNNNNNNNNNNNNNNNNNNNNNNNNNNNNNNNNNNNNNNNNNNNNNNNNNNNNNNNNNNNNNNNNNNNNNNNNNNNNNNNNNNNNNNNNNNNNNNNNNNNNNNNNNNNNNNNNNNNNNNNNNNNNNNNNNNNNNNNNNNNNNNNNNNNNNNNNNNNNNNNNNNNNNNNNNNNNNNNNNNNNNNNNNNNNNNNNNNNNNNNNNNNNNNNNNNNNNNNNNNNNNNNNNNNNNNNNNNNNNNNNNNNNNNNNNNNNNNNNNNNNNNNNNNNNNNNNNNNNNNNNNNNNNNNNNNNNNNNNNNNNNNNNNNNNNNNNNNNNNNNNNNNNNNNNNNNNNNNNNNNNNNNNNNNNNNNNNNNNNNNNNNNNNNNNNNNNNNNNNNNNNNNNNNNNNNNNNNNNNNNNNNNNNNNNNNNNNNNNNNNNNNNNNNNNNNNNNNNNNNNNNNNNNNNNNNNNNNNNNNNNNNNNNNNNNNNNNNNNNNNNNNNNNNNNNNNNNNNNNNNNNNNNNNNNNNNNNNNNNNNNNNNNNNNNNNNNNNNNNNNNNNNNNNNNNNNNNNNNNNNNNNNNNNNNNNNNNNNNNNNNNNNNNNNNNNNNNNNNNNNNNNNNNNNNNNNNNNNNNNNNNNNNNNNNNNNNNNNNNNNNNNNNNNNNNNNNNNNNNNNNNNNNNNNNNNNNNNNNNNNNNNNNNNNNNNNNNNNNNNNNNNNNNNNNNNNNNNNNNNNNNNNNNNNNNNNNNNNNNNNNNNNNNNNNNNNNNNNNNNNNNCACGCCCCAGAACAAAAAAAAAA
Molecule: long non-coding RNA, 24280 nt
Filed under: Triticum aestivum (bread wheat)
Lineage: Eukaryota; Viridiplantae; Streptophyta; Magnoliopsida; Poales; Poaceae
Description: long non-coding RNA (TAES_LNC016296)
Source: RNAcentral